Long non-coding RNA from Setaria italica (foxtail millet), 3964 nucleotides. RefSeq lists it as uncharacterized. The transcript is spliced from 2 exons. NCBI's taxonomy places the organism in Eukaryota, Viridiplantae, Streptophyta, Magnoliopsida, Poales, Poaceae. The record is from RefSeq and is a predicted model, not a curated record.
CCACUGUCUUCGGGGAUAAUGCAUUUAAAGAGAAGUGUCGGAUUUAGUGACCGACAGUCCACCAGGGGGUUACCCAGGUGGUAGAUUUGUAGGCGGGGGAGAUCGUAAGGCUGAUAACUCGAAUGGUAACACAGAGACGCAAGGUUUAGACAGGUUCGGACCUCCAGAGAGUAAUACCCUACGUCCCGUGUUCUGGUGGAUUGUAUUGCUGAUCGUAGGUGCGAAGAGUUAACGUGAUGUGUGAUGAGUCACCCUCGGGGGUGCCUCUGGCCGCCUUAUAUAGGCUGACGACCUAGGGUUACAAUUGGAUAGAAUCUAAUCCUAGUCGGUUGUUACAUGGAAGGCAAUCUGAGUCGGUUUACAACAAGUAUCCCGUGAUAUCCAGGCUGAAUUGAUUCGCCCGGCCUUCUAGCUUGUGCUCCACGCAUCUUUAUGCCUUGGCUCGCACGAUAUGGUCGGGCGGGCCCACUUGUCAGGGCUGACCAGUAUCCUGGUUGAUGGGGACCCGUAGGUACCCUUAUCCCUCAAGCCCUCAAGUGAUGUGGAGUCGAACAGGAACCUGACGGAUGCGCAACGGAGCUUGUAAUGUACUCGGCUGAAGGUGCGGUGUCGUCAUAGUGAUGGAGAGGCUGCGCAGUGCUAAAAAAAGGAAGAAAAAUUGAAGCUUCCACAGGCGUAUGACCAAAUGCGCAUGGCUAUGCGACUACCGAGCUCCGAGAUGUCUGGCAUCCUGUAGAUCGAAGGAAAGCACAUGGAGGGCGUCGCAAGACGCACUCCAUAUGGAGUAGCCCUUGAGCAUUGAAGCGAUUAAAGUAAUUGGUCCAAUGGUCAAGAAUCUGAUGUAUUGUUUCCGUCGUAAAAGGGAUACAAAUAUAGCGCUCAGCCCCCGAGCGCGAGGACUGGUGGAGCCACGGAGGCACGUCGUGAGACUUAACGGAAAACCCGCGGGUUCCGUCCAUUGCUUGCGGCGUAACAGGAGACAUGCGGAUUCCGUCGCUAGGUUUACGCUGUCAAUGCCUUCAAAAGCCGAAGAGGCGCGGUUUCCUUUUCAUUUCCACUCCACUCGCCCCCAAGUGUCACCGCCGCCAACGCCAUCGCCGUCGCGCCUGAGAGCCCUAGGUCACGCCGCUGCGUCCGCAAGCCACAUCCACCGCUCCUCCGCGCAAAGGCUGCAGUCACCGCCGCCGUGCUGCCAUUCCCCGCCGCAUGCGAACCAAGAGGCCCGCCUUCAUCAGAUCUGUGUCUCGAGGAGUAGAAACCGAAGAAAUGGCGAUGGAGUAGGCACCAGAUCCAUCCAUGUACUGGGUGAAAUCCGUGAUGUCGGAGGAGAGGAUCCAAGCCCUCGUCGAUCGCGGCCUGCUCGGUUCCAAGUCCCUCCCGGAAUGGAAGGCGACCGCGGGACAAGAGUUCCCCACCGAGGACAAGACCGAAGCUGUCGUCUUUGCGGCAUUUUUCGAGCGGGGAUUCGGGAUCCCGACAGGGGAUUUCUUUCGCGGGUUGCUAGAGUACUACAAGAUCGAGUUAGUGCAUCUCAACCCUAACUCCAUUUUGGACAUCGCAGUUUUUAUCCACCUUUGCGAAGCUUUCCUCGGAAUUCCUCCCCAUUUCAAUCUGUCGAGAUAUCUCUACCAACUAAAAAUUGUGUCGACCAAGGGGAAGCCGGGAUUGAUCGGUGGUUGUGGAUUUUCGCUGCAGCCAAAGAGGGUCCUGGAGUAUUUUGGUCUGAAGCUCAAGGACUUGAACAAGGGGUGGCAUAAGGAAUGGUUCCUUAUCACCAAUCAGAAGCCCGAGCUGCCGCCCCGCCUCGGGUAUGCACCCGUGACAAUGCCGGAGUGGUCGAACCAGCCGACCUCCACGGAAAUGGUCCAGGUGAAGCAACUGUUAAAAGAGAUUGCCGACCUAAAAUGUCGUGGGCUCACAGCCAGGGCUGUGAGCAUCAACUUUUGCCGGAGGCUGACAUAGCCGAUCAAGGAUAGGGUCCAUCCGGCGUAUGAGUACUUGGGGCUGUUGGAUCCAACCCGGGACGCACAGCGGAAGGUUACCUAGGAAGAGGUUGCCGGCCGGAUGUGCAAGUUCUUCAGUGGCGUCAUCAAGAACAAGCACUGCCCCAAGGCGUACUCCCUCAUGAGGUCGGCCGACCCGGUAAGAUCUUGAUUUUCAUCGAUUAACUAGGAGUCGGACUCAUCCUUUGACGACUCUGACGAGGACGUAUCGGUCUAAGGCAGCGGGACGGAGGUCGGGGGCACGGUCCUACUAGGCAGCCGGCAUGCCAGGCCGUUCGCAAGGUGUUGGAGUCCAAGGUGCCAGAGGCGGAGAAGCCGGAGGCUGAGAAGAAGCAGAAGAAGAGGGGUGCCACGUAGUCGAAGGCACCCGCCGUGGCGGCAGCAUCCUCUACGGAGACCUCGUCCGGGGUGCCGAGCGAUGACUCUAAAUCGCCCAGCCCGACCGCCAAGAAGAAGGCCGUGCUCCUUGGGAUGACCGCAGCCGACGCGAAGUGGCUCAAGGAGCGGCUGAAAACGGAGAUCUGCGGGGGGAAGCAGAAGGAGCCGAUCUUGCCGCCGCCAUCACCUCUUCGCCUAAUGUUACGAGCGAAGAAGAGCAUGUUGUGAGUCUGAUCAUGGCGUCGUACAUUGUUGGAAGUUUGUUUGUACGUUGCUUAACUUUGUCCCUGUGCUGCGCUGACCGAGCAGGGAGGCGGUGAUAGAGGAUGACUCGAGCCUGGAGGACACUGGCGUCGGGACCCAUGCAAAAGGUCGGACUCCUGAGGCAACCAUAGGGGCUGCAUCUACGAUGUCUGUCCAAGCCGGGAGCAAGAGUAGCCUAGUGGUGGGACCUAAGGGGCCCGAGCCAAGGUCUUCGUUGCGCUAGGAUGCCGCCGUAUCUGCGCCCGGGGCCGCAGAUGCCAGUGUCGAGGUGCAGAUGGAGGAGACCCCCAGGGAAGCGCCAACGUCGAUGCCCACGUGGAGGAUGAUUCCGCCACCCUGGACUUCUUCGAGACGGCCCUGGCACAGGAUGUUGCUGCCGACAAGAGGGAUCUUGCCAUCCUGCAGGAAGCCUCGGCCAAGGUCGGAUAGGUGUUAUACAAUCUGGCCAAGCGUGCGCACAAGAGGGCGGACGCCAUCCACUGAGCUGAGGAGUAUCGCCUUAGGCCGAGCGCCUGAAGGCCGAGCUCAAGAAGGCUAAGGAGGAUGCUGCGGAGCAGAUCUGACAAAAAGACCGGGAGAUCGAGGAGCAGAAGAUCACCAGGGAGGUCUAGGGCGACCUUGGCGCUUUGCUGACCGGUACGACUUCAUCCCUUAUGGAGGAUCUAGCUUGGGUAGAUAAGGCCGGUAUCUUUUCUUGAGUUCCGUUACUUUGUAGAUGCCCAGAAGAAAGAGGAGAGGCUCAAGAGAAACCUCAAAAAGUGCAAGGCUGCCAAUGCCCGACUACAGCAAGACCACGACGUCGCCGUGCGCCGUGAGUAUGAUGUGUCGCGGAAACUGUCCUAUGAGGCCAACUUGCACAAGGACAUGGACCGGUGCUUGAUUGCCGCUAUGAAUAGCCUCUAGCAUGAUCAGGUGGUUAUUGUAGGGUUGGAGCUGGAGCUGGAAGGUCUGCGGUCGGCCGCGGGCUACAUGAUGGACAUGGUCCAGCCUGAGGCCAAUCCUGCCGAGCUGACGCCGACUGCUGGACCGACUGAGGAGUUCUCCUAGUUGUCUGAAGGUGCCGAUGAAGGAGACCACCGUGGAGUGCGCGGAGAACGUCAUUGUGCUUCUCAAGACGCAUUUCUCUCAAGUGGAGGUGGAGCGCGUCGGAGCGGGGGUAGCCAAGGGCUUCGAUCCUGAUAGCCUUUUGGAGUUGGCCUUCCAGUAUCAACAGGCUGCAGAGGAGGUAGUCAAGGAGUUGGACUUGUAAUAGAAAAAAACUAUGAUGUGUAUCAUUUUGUGUCAUGAGACAAGUAAACUAGUCAAUUAACUUAUGUAAA